Molecule: ribosomal RNA, 449 nt
Filed under: uncultured bacterium
Lineage: Bacteria
Description: bacterial SSU rRNA
Rfam family: Bacterial small subunit ribosomal RNA
Source: RNAcentral
ACCAGACUCCUACGGGAGGCAGCAGUGGGGAAUAUUGCACAAUGGGGGAAACCCUGAUGCAGCGACGCCGCGUGAGUGAAGAAGUAUUUCGGUAUGUAAAGCUCUAUCAGCAGGAACGAGACAAGACGGUACCUGACUAAGAAGCCCCGGCUAACUACGUGCCAGCAGCCGCGGUAAUACGUAGGGGGCAAGCGUUAUCCGGAAUCACUGGGUGUAAAGGGAGCGUAGACGGCUGUGCAAGCCUGAAGUGAAAGGCGGGGGCCCAACCCCUGGACUGCUUUGGGAACUGUACGGCUGGAGUGCAGGAGAGGUAAGUGGAAUUCCUAGUGUAGCGGUGAAAUGCGUAGAUAUUAGGAGGAACACCAGUGGCGAAGGCGGCUUACUGGACGUUAACUGACGUUGAGGCUCGAAAGCGUGGGGAGCAAACAGGAUUAGAUACCCGGGUAUCG